UAGGCCUUAGAUGGGUCUAAAUUGGCCGAAAAAGGAGGCAAAUGAUCAGGCCUAAGAAACUCUCUUACUGCAUAUUCCACAGCUUUAUAUUUUACCCAUUUAUUGGACUUAAUUUUCACUCUUCCAACUUACCAAAAUUCCCCAAACCACAGUAUAAGACUCCUCGCCAAUCCGAGAACUUGCCCCAUCAGCCUCUAACUGCAUGCC
RNAcentral lists this long non-coding RNA (207 nucleotides) under Elaeis guineensis (African oil palm). RNAcentral describes it as "long non-coding RNA (EGUI_LNC016390)". The record is from RNAcentral. Lineage: Eukaryota; Viridiplantae; Streptophyta; Magnoliopsida; Arecales; Arecaceae.